This 301-nucleotide ribosomal RNA is filed under the name uncultured bacterium. Its description in RNAcentral is "partial 16S ribosomal RNA". It matches the Rfam family "Bacterial small subunit ribosomal RNA", at positions 509 to 807 of the family's 1533-position model. The record is from RNAcentral.
CAGUAGCCGCGGUAAUACGGAGGGGGCUAGCGCUGUUCGGAAUUACUGGGCGUAAAGCGCACGUAGGCGGCUUUGUAAGUUAGAGGUGAAAGCCUGGGGCUCAACUCCAGAAUUGCCUUUAAGACUGCAUCGCUUGAACGUCGGAGAGGUGAGUGGAAUUCCGGGUGUAGAGGUGAAAUUCGUAGAUAUUCGGAAGAACACCAGUGGCGAAGGCGGCCAUCUGGACCAGUACUGACGCUGAGGCACGAAAGCGUGGGGAGCAAACAGGAUUAGAUACCCCGGUAGUCCCUGUCUCUUAUAC